GAUGAAGAACGUAGCGAAAUGCGAUACGUAAUGUGAAUUGCAGAAUUCAGUGAAUCAUCGAAUCUUUGAACGCAUAUUGCGCUCUUUGGUAUUCCGAAGAGCAUGCUUGUUUGAGUAUCAGUAAACACCUCAAAGACUUCAAUUUGUUUUGAAUGGCUUUGGACUUGAGCAAUCCCAACACCAGUCUUUACGAUCGGUGGAGGGUUGCUUGAAAUGCAGGUGCAGCUGGACAUUCUCCUGAGCUAAAAGCAUAUUUAUUUAGUCCCGUCAAACGGAUUAUUACUUUUGCUGCAGCUAACAUAAAGGGAGUUUGACCGUAUUGGCUGACUGAUGCAGGAUUUCACAAGGGUCGGCAACGAUUCUUGUGAAACUCGAUCUCAAAUCAAGUAAGACUACCCGCUGAACUUAAGCAUAUCAAUAAGCGGAGGA
RNAcentral lists this unclassified non-coding RNA (429 nucleotides) under soil metagenome. RNAcentral's name for it is "partial contains 5.8S ribosomal RNA, internal transcribed spacer 2, and large subunit ribosomal RNA". The stretch from base 1 to 120 matches the Rfam family "5.8S ribosomal RNA", at positions 35 to 154 of the family's 154-position model. The record is from RNAcentral.